GUGCCAGCAGCCGCGGUAAUACGUAGGGCGCAAGCGUUGUCCGGAAUUAUUGGGCGUAAAGAGCUCGUAGGCGGUUUGUCGCGUCUGCUGUGAAAACUCGAGGCUCAACCUCGGGCUUGCAGUGGGUACGGGCAGACUAGAGUGCGGUAGGGGAGACUGGAAUUCCUGGUGUAGCGGUGGAAUGCGCAGAUAUCAGGAGGAACACCGAUGGCGAAGGCAGGUCUCUGGGCCGCAACUGACGCUGAGGAGCGAAAGCAUGGGGGAGCGAACAGGAUUAGAUACCCUGGUAGUCC
RNAcentral lists this ribosomal RNA (293 nucleotides) under uncultured microorganism. Its description in RNAcentral is "partial 16S ribosomal RNA". It matches the Rfam family "Bacterial small subunit ribosomal RNA", at positions 505 to 796 of the family's 1533-position model. The record is from RNAcentral.